RNAcentral lists this ribosomal RNA (497 nucleotides) under uncultured bacterium. RNAcentral's name for it is "partial 16S ribosomal RNA". It matches the Rfam family "Bacterial small subunit ribosomal RNA", at positions 28 to 507 of the family's 1533-position model. The record is from RNAcentral.
GAUGAACGCUGGCGGCGUGCCUAAUACAUGCAAGUCGAACGAACAGACGAGGAGUUUGCUCCUCUGAUGUUGGCAGCGGACGGGUGAUUCACACGUGGAUAACCUACCUAUCAGACUGGGAUAACUUCAGCGAACCGUAUCUAAUACCGGAUAACAUGUUGAACCGCAAGGUUCCACAGUUGAAUACGGUCUUUCUGUGACUUAUAGCUUGCUCCGCGCCGCAUUAGCUAGUUGGUAAGGUAACGGCUUACCAAGGCAACGAUGCGUAGCCGACCUGAGAGGGUGAUCGGCCACACUGGAACUGAGACACGGCCGAGACUCCUACGGGAGGACGCAGUAGGGAAUCUUACGCAAGGGGGGAAAGCCUGACAGAGCAACGCCGCGUGAGUGAAGAAGGUGCUAGGAUCGGAAAGCUCUGUUAUUAGGGAAGAACAAAUGUGUAUGUACCCAGGCUGGUCUUGACGGUACCUAAAGAGAAAGCUCCGGCUAACUACGUG